RNAcentral lists this ribosomal RNA (229 nucleotides) under uncultured bacterium. RNAcentral describes it as "partial 16S ribosomal RNA". It matches the Rfam family "Bacterial small subunit ribosomal RNA", at positions 568 to 796 of the family's 1533-position model. The record is from RNAcentral.
UGCGUAGGCGGUCUUAUAAGUCAGUAGUGAAAUCUCUAGGCUCAACCUGGAACGUGCUAUUGAAACUGUAAGACUUGAGUACAGACGAGGCAGGCGGAAUGUGUUAUGUAGCGGUGAAAUGCGUAGAUAUAACACAGAACACCGAUAGCGAAGGCAGCUUGCCAGACUGUAACUGACGCUGAUGCACGAAAGCGUGGGUAGCGAACAGGAUUAGAUACCCUGGUAGUCC